This 327-nucleotide unclassified non-coding RNA is filed under the name soil metagenome. RNAcentral describes it as "partial contains 5.8S ribosomal RNA, internal transcribed spacer 2, and large subunit ribosomal RNA". The stretch from base 1 to 120 matches the Rfam family "5.8S ribosomal RNA", at positions 35 to 154 of the family's 154-position model. The record is from RNAcentral.
GAUGAAGAACGUAGCGAAAUGCGAUAAGUAGUGUGAAUUGCAGAAUUCCGUGAAUCAUCGAAUCUUUGAACGCACAUUGCGCCCCUUGGUAUUCCGGGGGGCAUGCCUGUUCGAGCGUCAUUAUAACCCCUCAAGCUCAGCUUGGUGUUGGGGCCUGCCGACUGGCAGCCCUUAAAAUCAGUGGCGGCGCCAUCUGGCUCUAAGCGUAGUAAUUUCUCUCGCUAUAGAGUCCCGGUGGAUGCUUGCCAGCAACCCCCAACUUUCUAUGGUUGACCUCGGAUCAGGUAGGGAUACCCGCUGAACUUAAGCAUAUCAAUAAGCGGAGGA